UUUCCAGAAUUUCUUGCAAAUAUGCCCCUAUCUUUCAGGAGUUUCUGCAACAUUCAAGUUUACCAGUUUGGAACAGAUUUAAGAAUAUUGGAUUCUGGCGUCAACUGACGGUUCGAGAAGGGAGGAGACUAGGCAUGGCCUCUGAUGCUGAAAAUUGUGAGGCCAAUAUUGCAGAGGUCAUGCUUAUUGUUCAGUGCUGGUGCAGAGCUACAAGACAAGACAAGUUUCCUUCAAUGGAUGGGUGUAGUGCAAGCAAGGCUGACGGCGGAAGAAGAAGCACAAAAGAUGGCUGGUGUGGGAGGAAGGUGUACUGUGUCUGUUCUCCCUGCUUCAGCGGAAAGAAGCAGCUCCAUCUCCACACAACACAACAAGAUCAUGGCGACUUCCGUGGUUUCCCUGAAACAGUGUCCAACAAUAUCAACAAAAGCGAUAUCAUCGUAGCGUAGAAGUGUUUGAAAAAUUCUGAAACGCAUAUUACUGCAAUGAUUUGGUGCAACGAUUCUGAAGAAUGUUUUUAAAA
This is a long non-coding RNA of Prunus mume (Japanese apricot), 520 nucleotides long. RefSeq lists it as uncharacterized. Lineage: Eukaryota; Viridiplantae; Streptophyta; Magnoliopsida; Rosales; Rosaceae. The record is from RefSeq and is a predicted model, not a curated record.